RNAcentral lists this ribosomal RNA (253 nucleotides) under uncultured bacterium. Its description in RNAcentral is "partial 16S ribosomal RNA". It matches the Rfam family "Bacterial small subunit ribosomal RNA", at positions 524 to 776 of the family's 1533-position model. The record is from RNAcentral.
UACGUAGGGGGCAAGCGUUGUCCGGAAUCAUUGGGCGUAAAGAGCGUGUAGGCGGUUCGGUAAGUCGGCUGUGAAAGUCCAGGGCUCAACCCUGGGAUGCCGGUCGAUACUGCCGGACUAGAGUUCGGAAGAGGCGAGUGGAAUUCCCGGUGUAGCGGUGAAAUGCGCAGAUAUCCGGAGGAACACCAGUGGCGAAGGCGGGUUGCUGGGCUGACACUGACGCUGAUGCGCGAAAGCUAGGGGAGCGAACGGG